Molecule: ribosomal RNA, 580 nt
Filed under: uncultured bacterium
Lineage: Bacteria
Description: bacterial SSU rRNA
Rfam family: Bacterial small subunit ribosomal RNA
Source: RNAcentral
ACGGGUGAGUAACACGUAGGCAACCUGCCCUCAGGACUGGGAUAACUACCGGAAACGGUAGCUAAUACCAGAUAAUUCACUUCUUCGCAUGGAGAAGUGAGGAAAGACGGAGCAAUCUGUCACCGGAGGAUGGGCCUGCGGCGCAUUAGCUAGUUGGAGAGGUAACGGCUCCCCAAGGCGACGAUGCGUAGCCGACCUGAGAGGGUGAUCGGCCACACUGGGACUGAGACACGGCCCAGACUCCUACGGGAGGCAGCAGUAGGGAAUCUUCCGCAAUGGGCGAAAGCCUGACGGAGCAACGCCGCGUGAGUGAUGAAGGUUUUCGGAUCGUAAAGCUCUGUUGCCAAGGAAGAACGUCCUUAAGAGUAACUGCCUAAGGAGUGACGGUACUUGAGAAGAAAGCCCCGGCUAACUACGUGCCAGCAGCCGCGGUAAUACGUAGGGGGCAAGCGUUGUCCGGAAUUAUUGGGCGUAAAGCGCGCGCAGGCGGUCAUUUAAGUCUGGUGUUUAAGCCCGGGGCUCAACCCCGGAUCGCACGGGAAACUGGAUGACUUGAGUGCAGAAGAGGAGAGUGGAAUUC